This 444-nucleotide ribosomal RNA is filed under the name uncultured bacterium. RNAcentral's name for it is "bacterial SSU rRNA". It matches the Rfam family "Bacterial small subunit ribosomal RNA", at positions 330 to 792 of the family's 1533-position model. The record is from RNAcentral.
UCCAGACUCCUACGGGAGGCAGCAGUGGGGGAUAUUGCACAAUGGAGGAAACUCUGAUGCAGCGACGCCGCGUGAGGGAAGACGGUCUUCGGAUUGUAAACCUCUGUCUUUGGGGAAGAAAAUGACGGUACCCAAAGAGGAAGCUCCGGCUAACUACGUGCCAGCAGCCGCGGUAAUACGGAGGAUGCGAGCGUUAUCCGGAUUUAUUGGGUUUAAAGGGUGCGUAGGCGGGCUGCCAAGUCAGCGGUAAAAUGGCGGGGCUCAACCCCGUCGAGCCGUUGAAACUGGCGGUCUUGAGCGGGCGAGAAGUAUGCGGAAUGUGUGGUGUAGCGGUGAAAUGCAUAGAUAUCACGCAGAACCCCGAUUGCGAAGGCAGCAUACCGGCGCCCGACUGACGCUGAAGCACGAAAGCGUGGGUAUCGAACAGGAUUAGAUACCCCCGUA